GUACUCACUUUGGCAGCACAUAUACUAAAAUUGGAAUGACACAGAGAAGAUUAGCACGGCCCCUGCACAAGGAUGACAUGCAAACUCAUGGAACUUCCAUAUUUUU
Felis catus (domestic cat) is the source of this 106-nucleotide non-coding RNA. NCBI's taxonomy places the organism in Eukaryota, Metazoa, Chordata, Mammalia, Carnivora, Felidae. The record is from Rfam.